RNAcentral lists this ribosomal RNA (119 nucleotides) under Pteropus alecto (black flying fox). The record is from RNAcentral. Lineage: Eukaryota; Metazoa; Chordata; Mammalia; Chiroptera; Pteropodidae.
GUCUACGGCCAUGCCACCCUGAACAAACCUGAUCUCGUCUGAUCUUGGAAGCUAAGCAUGGUCGGGCCUGGUUAGUACUUGGAUAGGAGACCACCUAGGAAGACCAGGUGCUGUAGGCG